UACGUAGGCAGCGAGCGUUGUUCGGAGUUACUGGGCGUAAAGCGUGCGUAGGCGGUGCUCCAAGUCUGUUGUGAAAUCCCUCAGCUUAACUGGGGAACUGCGUCUGAGACUGGCAGGCUCGAGUGCAGGAGAGGAACGCGGAAUUCCAGGUGUAGCGGUGAAAUGCGUAGAUAUCGGGAGGAACACCAGUGGCGAAGGCGACUUCCUGGCCUGUUCUUGACGCUGAGGCGCGAAAGCUAGGGUAGCAAACGGG
This 253-nucleotide ribosomal RNA is filed under the name uncultured bacterium. RNAcentral describes it as "partial 16S ribosomal RNA". It matches the Rfam family "Bacterial small subunit ribosomal RNA", at positions 524 to 776 of the family's 1533-position model. The record is from RNAcentral.